CUGUCGUUUACAGCCUGGUAUGGACCCCUUUCUUCAUCAGUCCUUCUUCUCUGCAACUGGAUUUCAGUUCAGUUCAAGGUUUAGCUGUGGGUGUCCGCUUCUACUUCCACCAGCUGAUGGAUGAUGGCUACAGGAUGGCAUAUGAAUUCAUUAUCAAUAUCAUUAUCAGGGAAGGGCAUAUAAGGUGGUGUCUCUUCCUUUCCCGGUGUGUAUGGGCCCAAGGUUCUCUUCCAGUGGAUGCAAGAGGUUCCCAUACUCUGCUGGGGCUCAAGGUGGGUGCUGGCGGGUUUCAGGAACUUGCUCUCCAGGUGAAUGGAAGCAGGACUAGCCCAGAGACACCAGCCCAGUGGAUGCAAGAGGUUCCCAUACUCUGCUGGGGCUCAAGGUGGGUGCAAGCGGGUUUCAGGCACUUGCUCUCCAGGUGAAUGGAAGCAGGACUAGCCCAGAGACACCAGAAGACUCCGGUUUGCUUGGUUCUCAGGGGCUGAGUUGAUCUGCCUGCAGAUCCCAGUACAGGAGUUCCCAUUGUGUUAGAAAAUAUACUUUAAAGUGUGAAUCUAAUUACAAAACUGUUUGUUUCUGAGUUUGUCUUUAAAAUUCAAAAUUUUUAACAGAUUAAAGUCCACAAUGAAUACAUAAUGAAAAUAAAUGCAGAUAUAUAAAAUAUGCAUCAAUGUGUGCAUACCAGUCAUUGUCACCACAGUGAUGGUAUUAUAAAACCUCAUCAAUUCAAAAUUUUCUAUGUGUUUGGGUGUAUUCUAGCUGUUGUUAUUAGUGUGUGUUUCUUGUGUUUGUGUGUGUGCUUAGAACAGAGCCUGAAACCUAGACACUCAACAAAUUUUUAAGUGUGAAGUAAAUUCCAAUAAUUCUAUAUAGCAAAUCAUGUUUAAAACUUAUCAUUCUUGCACAUAUGAAGCCCUACAAUCUUUGAAAAACAAAUUCCUCUGUAUAGUAACACCACACUAAAAUACAUAGAGCUAUUGACAAGGGGGUUAAUUAUUCUCCACAACAUGAUGGUAAAGCCCCAUUGCUCAAGGCAUUACUUACUUAUGAAUGCCCUUGAGCAUGGGAAAUUAAGCACUCAAGCCAACUAUAAACUUUACCACCAAUGAUGAACAUUUAUGUUGUGGAAAUUACUUUGUAAAUGUCAGAUGAGAAUGGAAUUAUCAAUAUUAUCCAGUGAAGAGUCCUAUGACCUACAAUCUGCCUACAAGAUGCAUGGGUGCAAUAAAGGUACAAAUGUUAAGGAAGUAGCCAACCAAUUAUAUUUAAAUCCUAUUCCAUGAGAUGAAACCCAUACCUGACACUCUUAAUGAGACCAAGAACUUGAGACUGGAUAGGUCAUUG
This 1347-nucleotide long non-coding RNA is filed under the name Cricetulus griseus (Chinese hamster). Its description in RNAcentral is "lncRNA (ENSCGRG00000024747.1)". Lineage: Eukaryota; Metazoa; Chordata; Mammalia; Rodentia; Cricetidae. The record is from RNAcentral.